This is an RNA transcript of Ananas comosus (pineapple), 4197 nucleotides long. It is a transcript of the gene named kelch repeat-containing protein At3g27220-like, with no coding region annotated. The record is from RefSeq and is a predicted model, not a curated record. Lineage: Eukaryota; Viridiplantae; Streptophyta; Magnoliopsida; Poales; Bromeliaceae. The transcript is spliced from 8 exons.
UCCGUUCGAACGUCCGCAUACUCCUUCCUCUCUCUCUCUCUCUCUCUCUCUCUCUCUCUCUCUCACAGAGAGUAGCAAAAGGUUGCACGAAGCUCCAUUCCCGUGCCGCAAUGUCUCCUCCUCCUCUCUCCCUCCUCUCUCCAUCGAUCGCGUCUCCUUGAGGAGGAGGAGCAGGAGGAGCACAGCAUCCAUGGCGAGAUCGGGGGCGAAGCCGAUCGCGAAGAGGUACGUGCUCGUCCUCUCCGGCCUCGCCCUCCUCGGCGUCGCCCUCGUCGCCGAUUUCCUCUGGGCCUCCUCCUCCUCCUCCUCCUCGUCGUCGUCCUCGCCUCUUUGGUCCACGACGCUGGAUUUGUCUCUCUACGACGCCCCCAAACCCCCCGUGGCCAAGCAGGUUAAGAAGGAUAAUAAAAUGUUACAGACAAAAGACAUUAAUGCAACUUUUGCGGAUUUACCGGCACCUCAGUUAGAAUGGGAAGAGAUGGCAGAAGCUCCUGUGCCUCGUCUAGAUGGAGCUGCUAUACAGAUUAAGAAUCUGCUGUAUGUUUUUGCUGGAUAUGGUACCAUUGACCAUGUGCAUUCCCAUGUGGAUAUCUAUAACUUUACAGAUAAUACAUGGGGAGGAAGAUUUGAUAUGCCAAAAGAAAUGGCACAUUCACAUCUAGGAAUGGUGACAGAUGGCAGAUAUAUUUAUGUAGUCACUGGACAGUAUGGGCCCCAAUGUAGAGGUCCUACAGCUCGCAAUUUUGUACUGGACACAGAGACGAAAGAAUGGCAUGAUUUGCCUCCAUUGCCAGUGCCUAGGUACGCACCAGCUACACAACUUUGGAGAGGCAGACUCCAUGUAAUGGGUGGCAGCAAGGAGGAUCGCCAUGAACCUGCAUUGGAUCAUUGGAGCCUCGCUGUAAAAGAUGGGAAAGCUUUGGACAAUGAAUGGAGAAAUGAGAUACCCAUACCACGUGGUGGUCCUCACAGGGCUUGUGUGGUUGCUAAUGAUCGGCUUCUUGCUAUUGGCGGUCAAGAGGGUGAUUUUAUGGCAAAACCUGGAUCACCGAUUUUCAAAUGUGUUCGCAGAAGUGAGGUGGUGUAUAGCAAUGUUUACAUGCUUGAUGAUGGUUUAAAGUGGAAGGAACUGCCACCCAUGCCUAAACCAGAUUCACACAUAGAAUUUGCAUGGGUAAAUGUAAACAAUUCCCUUAUUAUCGCUGGAGGAACUACGGAGAAACAUCCUGUGACUAAAAAGAUGGUCUUGGUUGGUGAAAUAUUUCGGUUCAACUUGGAUACACUGGAAUGGUCGGUUAUUGGGAAGUUACCUUUCCGCAUCAAGACCACCUUGGUAGGUUUCUGGAAUGGCUGGUUGUAUUUCACAUCUGGCCAGCGAGACAAGGGACCAAACGAUCCCUCUCCUAAAAAGGUUGUCGGGUGCAUGUGGAGAACUAAGCUACGGUUAUAGCUCUUACAUUUUAUCUGGAACUAUGUCAGUUUAUAUCUUCGCUAUUUCCGUCUAGAAUGUCUCACAUAUUGUUUCAUUUUUUUUUCAGUUCAAUUCCUCAUUCAAAUUUACAAACUAAUCCAGUGAUUUAUCCUGUACAAUUUAGUGGGCACUUCAUUUUUUUUUUCAGUCCUAUUUGUAGCAAGUCAAACAACACCCUUGGAGGUCUCCCAGUUUAUUAGACAAUUCAUGUCAAUUUUAUCUUAUAGUUUAUGUUGGUCUUCAGAAAUGUAUCAUUCAUGCAUUAUUUCCUUUUACAUGGCAGUUGCAGUGUGGGAUUUGUUGCAUCAAACUUAAAGUGGAAAACCUUCAUUUCCAUGUAGUAAUACUUUGCUUAGGUUUACAGGAAAAGGUAAUGCUUUGUAUUAGUCAUAUGUGCCUUAUUUUUCGGAACACCUCGACAUUUCUUGGAUCCCGUGCUGAUUUGUAGAAGCGUCGUCGAUGAUGGUCGGCAUUAAGGAUGAUUCUACUAGCUCGAACUAGAGCUAGCGGUUGUUAGAGAUUUGGUGCUUGAUGUGAGGAUCGUAAGACUUUUCGUUUUCAUCUCUUUUCUUUAUUUGGAUUUCAGGGCUUGAUUUUUUUACUUUUACGUUGUAGGUUGGGAACUGUUAUCGACAUGUUUUUCAUCUCUUUUCUUGUUCUGAGUCGGGGGACCGACAAUAACGAAUUUCCCCAUUGUUUUAUUUUGAUUCGAUCGGGAACCGUUGUCGAUUUCUUCAUUUUAGUUUGUGCAGAGUGGUCUUCAUUUCUAUGUUGUGGAGUAUAUUUUUCAAAUUUUUUUUCCCAAACUUGUAUUUAAGCUUUUUAUUAAUGGAUAUUAUCUAUGGGUUUCCUUGUUAAGGAAAAGAAAAAAAGGGAAACAAAGAGAGGGAGUUUGAGAACUGAAAAAAAAGGAAAGAUACAAAGCAUGUAACUUCGACUCGCUCAAAACAAGCCCUAGCUGGCAAUUUAAUCUCUCGCACUGCAGCCGUCUGCCCCAUGAACCAGUGGGAUCUCCUCAAACUGCUCCAAGAAGCCGUAACCGUCGCCAACGUUCCUCAGCGACCGGUACGCUCCAUACAUUGAGAACCUCUCCUGCGGACUAUUUACAACACAUCCCAUGGCUAUUUUCAAGGACUCCACAAUUUCGACGUCAUGGCCCUUCCCGCGCAGCGACUCAUCAACAGCAUCUCUGAUCCUACCUUCGCCCGCAAGCUUGCGAACCCAAUCCACCAAAUUUCCUGCAAAACGUAUCCCCACCGCAUCCGUGCCGAUCUCACCGGGCUUCCUCCCUGUGGCUAGCUCCAGUAGCACCACUCCUAAUGCAUAAACAUCGCCCUUUGUGGUCGGGACCGGAUUCGCAGCAUACUCCGGAGCCGCGUAGCCCAAUUCCCCGACGUUCGAUUCGAGGAGCCCCGAGAGGCCGAAAUCGGUGAUCUUGGCCUCAUAGUCUUCGUCGAGGAGGAUCGUGCUCGAGCUCAUGUAAUGGUGGAGGAGGGGAGCGUGGAACCAAUGGUGGAGCCACGUGAGACCGCGGGCGGCACCGAUUGCUAUCUUGAGCCUAGCAGGCCAAUCCAGAGAGCGAGAGGAAGAGUGUAGUCGGGAGGAGAGGGCGCCGUUCGGCAUGUACUUGUAGACGAGGAGGCGCUCGUCGUUGAUUGUGUAGAAGUCCAAGAGCGGUGCAAGGUUGGGGUGGCGGAGUCGACCAAUGCGACUGAUCGUCGCGGAGUAGAGGGCCUCGCCGAAGAGCCUGCACGACCGCAGCCGCUUGACGGUGAGCGCAGUUCCGUCGCUGAGGAAGGCCUUGUAUGACGUCCCCAGCUGCGCACUCCCAACCGCGAUAAUACGAUCGGGGUGGAAAUCUGCAGUUGCAUGUAGUAGAUCGGAGGGAGUUAGCUGCACGGUCAGCCUCCGGGAGAUCGUCAUGGGUGAGAUCUGGCCCAGAGACACCUGCAGCGACUCUGUCCGGCCCAACAAGUUUCUGCGCUCCCCGGUGGUGGCGAUAGGACUAUGAGUUACUUUCGAGGGACGGGAAAUGCACCGGUUCCAGAUUGUGAGCGAAAAGAGCAAAGAAGUUGCAAAACCAAAGACGCCGGCCAAGAUGUUCACAAGGAUAGCUUCGCCUUCCGUAGCAUGGCCGUGGCGGUGAGAGGAGACGUCGUAGCCGCGGCGUCGGUUGGGAUUCCCCGCAAACGAGUUGAACGAAUUGCCCGGCGGUGCGUGGAUUGGGCCACGAAGCAUGUCGUAGUCGUCCUUCGCUGCGCUUCCGUCGACACCGGUGUAGAUCGAAGCCGUCGAAACUGCGAGGAGAAUGAGAAGAUGGAGGGCUCCCAUGAUCUGUCUGCAGCUCUGAUCUUCAAAUUAAUGAUCUCAAAAAAUGGCAUGAGAUUACAAAUACACAAAAGUGCAGGGAGGAUAGGGGAGACUUGGUUGACAGUGAUAAAGACAAAUGUGGAAAUAUAUGAGGUAAAAAGACUAGGAUCUCAAACUGACAGCGUUAGACUUGGACUCAGCGGUCAAGCAUUUAAGCUGAUAGAGAAAGAGGAAAAUUUGCAAAUAGCUUGAUGUCGACUGGCGCGGCAGUGCCAGAACAACAUUCAGAAAGAAAGAUAUGACUCAAAAACGAAUAGAGUUGGUGCCAAAAUAGUUCAUGCUAUACCAACUAUGUGACACAUUUAGAAUUUAAAAUAGUUUUAUAUAUAAUAAAUAAUAAAAAUAUUUGUUUAAUC